AGAGUGAACGCUGGCGGUAGGCCUAACACAUGCAAGUCGAACGGCAGCACAGGAGAGCUUGCUCUCUGGGUGGCGAGUGGCGGACGGGUGAGGAAUACAUCGGAAUCUACCUUUUCGUGGGGGAUAACGUAGGGAAACUUACGCUAAUACCGCAUAAGACCUUCGGGUGAAAGCCGGGGACCUUCGGGCCUGGCGCGGAUGGAUGAGCCGAUGUCGGAUUAGCUUGUUGGCGGGUAAAAGCCCACCAAGGCGACGAUCCGUAGCUGGUCUGAGAGGAUGAUCAGCCACACUGGAACUGAGACACGGUCCAGACCGUCCUACGGGAGGCAGCGAGUGGGGAAUAUUGGACAAGUGGGACGCAAGCCUGAACUCCAAGCCAUACCCGGCGUGGGUGAAAGGAGGUCC
RNAcentral lists this ribosomal RNA (405 nucleotides) under uncultured soil bacterium. Its description in RNAcentral is "bacterial SSU rRNA". It matches the Rfam family "Bacterial small subunit ribosomal RNA", at positions 26 to 417 of the family's 1533-position model. The record is from RNAcentral.